UAAGGAAUAUUGGUCAAUGGACGCAAGUCUGAACCAGCCAUGCCGCGUGAAGGAUGAAGGUCCUCUGGAUUGUAAACUUCUUUUAUCUGGGACGAAAACGGGAUUUUUAUCUCAAUUGACGGUACCAGAGGAAUAAGCACCGGCUAACUCCGUGCCAGCAGCCGCGGUAAUACGGAGGGUGCGAGCGUUAUCCGGAUUUACUGGGUUUAAAGGGUGCGUAGGUGGGCUUGUAAGUCAGUGGUGAAAUCUCCGAGCUUAACUUGGAAACUGCCGUUGAUACUAUAGGUCUUGAAUUAUCUGGAGGUAAGCGGAAUAUGUCAUGUAGCGGUGAAAUGCUUAGAUAUGACAUAGAACACCAAUUGCGAAGGCAGCUUACUACAUAUAAAUUGACGCUGAGGCACGAAAGCGUGGGGAUCAAACA
This 421-nucleotide ribosomal RNA is filed under the name uncultured bacterium. RNAcentral describes it as "bacterial SSU rRNA". It matches the Rfam family "Bacterial small subunit ribosomal RNA", at positions 355 to 774 of the family's 1533-position model. The record is from RNAcentral.